Molecule: ribosomal RNA, 1329 nt
Filed under: Microbacterium hydrocarbonoxydans
Lineage: Bacteria; Bacillati; Actinomycetota; Actinomycetes; Micrococcales; Microbacteriaceae
Description: bacterial SSU rRNA
Rfam family: Bacterial small subunit ribosomal RNA
Source: RNAcentral
GUCGAACGGUGAACACGGAGCUUGCUCUGUGGGAUCAGUGGCGAACCGUUGAGUAACACGUGAGCAACCUGCCCCUGACUCUGGGAUAAGCGCUGGAAACGGCGUCUAAUACUGGAUACGAACCACGAAGGCAUCUUCAGUGGUUGGAAAGAAUUUCGGUUGGGGAUGGGCUCGCGGCCUAUCAGCUUGUUGGUGAGGUAAUGGCUCACCAAGGCGUCGACGGGUAGCCGGCCUGAGAGGGUGACCGGCCACACUGGGACUGAGACACGGCCCAGACUCCUACGGGAGGCAGCAGUGGGGAAUAUUGCACAAUGGGCGCAAGCCUGAUGCAGCAACGCCGCGUGAGGGAUGACGGCCUUCGGGUUGUAAACCUCUUUUAGCAGGGAAGAAGCGAAAGUGACGGUACCUGCAGAAAAAGCGCCGGCUAACUACGUGCCAGCAGCCGCGGUAAUACGUAGGGCGCAAGCGUUAUCCGGAAUUAUUGGGCGUAAAGAGCUCGUAGGCGGUUUGUCGCGUCUGCUGUGAAAUCCGGAGGCUCAACCUCCGGCCUGCAGUGGGUACGGGCAGACUAGAGUGCGGUAGGGGAGAUUGGAAUUCCUGGUGUAGCGGUGGAAUGCGCAGAUAUCAGGAGGAACACCGAUGGCGAAGGCAGAUCUCUGGGCCGUAACUGACGCUGAGGAGCGAAAGGGUGGGGAGCAAACAGGCUUAGAUACCCUGGUAGUCCACCCCGUAAACGUUGGGAACUAGUUGUGGGGUCCAUUCCACGGAUUCCGUGACGCAGCUAACGCAUUAAGUUCCCCGCCUGGGGAGUACGGCCGCAAGGCUAAAACUCAAAGGAAUUGACGGGGACCCGCACAAGCGGCGGAGCAUGCGGAUUAAUUCGAUGCAACGCGAAGAACCUUACCAAGGCUUGACAUAUACGAGAACGGGCCAGAAAUGGUCAACUCUUUGGACACUCGUAAACAGGUGGUGCAUGGUUGUCGUCAGCUCGUGUCGUGAGAUGUUGGGUUAAGUCCCGCAACGAGCGCAACCCUCGUUCUAUGUUGCCAGCACGUAAUGGUGGGAACUCAUGGGAUACUGCCGGGGUCAACUCGGAGGAAGGUGGGGAUGACGUCAAAUCAUCAUGCCCCUUAUGUCUUGGGCUUCACGCAUGCUACAAUGGCCGGUACAAAGGGCUGCAAUACCGCGAGGUGGAGCGAAUCCCAAAAAGCCGGUCCCAGUUCGGAUUGAGGUCUGCAACUCGACCUCAUGAAGUCGGAGUCGCUAGUAAUCGCAGAUCAGCAACGCUGCGGUGAAUACGUUCCCGGGUCUUGUACACACCGCCCGUCA